Molecule: long non-coding RNA, 540 nt
Filed under: Cricetulus griseus (Chinese hamster)
Lineage: Eukaryota; Metazoa; Chordata; Mammalia; Rodentia; Cricetidae
Description: lncRNA (ENSCGRG00000026558.1)
Source: RNAcentral
CCCGCCUCCCUGCUUCCCGCCCUCUGUGGGUGGGAGCCACAGCCCCAGUUGAGCUGUUCCCAGUGCUAGGCUGUGUCCUCACCACUGCUAGAGAGAGCUUUGGGUGCAGAGCCAGCUGGCCAGUCUCAGGCUGCCCUGAAGCCUGUCCCUGCUCUUUGCACUGGGAGGUCCGGCCACCAGCUGCCUUUGGAGAGGUGGCCCAGGAAGUAGGAAGAGAAUGGUGGAGGUGUAUGAGAGAUCACAUACACCACCACCCCCAUUCUCCAAGUCUGGGAGCUGCCUCGGGGCUGUCUGGGUGUGGGAGGAGGGAGCCGAGAGCAGAGCCAAGAGUUCAAGAUGAGGAGCAAGCUAGACGAAGAAGACAGGGAGCCCCAGGUCGCAGCACCUGGCUCCACGCCGCGGUACCAGGCCAGGCCGCAUGAGGUGUGCCACUGUGGGGGUUGUAGAGACAGGUGCUGGGAAGCCAGGGAAGGCUGGGAAGCCAGGCUGGGUAGCCUUGGUGCAGAGGUCAAGGUGACGGGGAUGGGCCAGGCAGGAGAG